RNAcentral lists this ribosomal RNA (485 nucleotides) under uncultured bacterium. RNAcentral describes it as "partial 16S ribosomal RNA". It matches the Rfam family "Bacterial small subunit ribosomal RNA", at positions 28 to 507 of the family's 1533-position model. The record is from RNAcentral.
AUUGAACGCUGGCGGCAUGCCUUACACAUGCAAGUCGAACGGCAGCGGGCCCUUCGGGGUGCCGGCGAGUGGCGAACGGGUGAGUAAUGCAUCGGACCGUACCCGGGAGAGGGGGAUAACCGGCCGAAAGGCUGGCUAAUACCGCAUGAACUCGGAAGAGCAAAGCGGGGGACCUUCGGGCCUCGCGCUCUCGGAGCGGCCGAUGUCCGAUUAGGCUAGUUGGUGGGGUAAAGGCCCACCAAGGCGACGAUCGGUAGCGGGUCUGAGAGGACGAUCCGCCACACUGGGACUGAGACACGGCCCAGACUCCUACGGGAGGCAGCAGUGGGGAAUCUUGGACAAUGGGCGCAAGCCUGAUCCAGCAAUGCCGCGUGGGUGAAGAAGGCCUUCGGGUUGUAAAGCCCUUUCGGCGGGGAAGAAAUCGGUCAGGCGAAUAGUCUGGCCGGAUGACGGUACCCGCAGAAGAAGCACCGGCUAACUACGUG